Molecule: transfer RNA, 73 nt
Filed under: Streptomyces sp. PVA_94-07
Lineage: Bacteria; Bacillati; Actinomycetota; Actinomycetes; Kitasatosporales; Streptomycetaceae
Source: RNAcentral
GUCCCUCGAAUCGGUCUUCUCCUAUCUCGUCGCGGCGUAAGGAGCCUUCAGCGAUGUACGACCCCACGGUCGC